UACGAAGGGGGCGAGCGUUGUUCGGAAUUACUGGGCGUAAAGGGCGCGUAGGCGGCCGAUUAAGUCAGAUGUGAAAGUCCUGGGCUUAACCUGGGGACUGCAUUUGAUACUGAUUGGCUUGAAUGCAGGAGAGGAUAGCGGAAUUCCCAGUGUAGAGGUGAAAUUCGUAGAUAUUGGGAAGAACACCGGUGGCGAAGGCGGCUAUCUGGACUGUGAUUGACGCUGAGGCGCGAAAGCGUGGGGAGCAAACAGG
Molecule: ribosomal RNA, 253 nt
Filed under: uncultured bacterium
Lineage: Bacteria
Description: partial 16S ribosomal RNA
Rfam family: Bacterial small subunit ribosomal RNA
Source: RNAcentral